GACAGAGGUGCCGAGCGUUAGGCGGAAUCACUGGGCGUAAAGAGCGUGUAGGCGGCCAUACAGGUCAGCUGUGAAAACUCGAGGCUCAACCUCGAGACGUCGGUUGAAACCGUAUGGCUAGAGUCCGGAAGAGGAGAGUGGAAUUCCCGGUGUAGCGGUGAAAUGCGCAGAUAUCGGGAAGAACACCCGUGGCGAAGGCGGCUCUCUGGGACGGUACUGACGCUGAGACGCGAAAGCGUGGGGAGCGAACAGG
RNAcentral lists this ribosomal RNA (253 nucleotides) under uncultured bacterium. RNAcentral describes it as "partial 16S ribosomal RNA". It matches the Rfam family "Bacterial small subunit ribosomal RNA", at positions 524 to 776 of the family's 1533-position model. The record is from RNAcentral.